RNAcentral lists this ribosomal RNA (301 nucleotides) under uncultured bacterium. RNAcentral's name for it is "partial 16S ribosomal RNA". It matches the Rfam family "Bacterial small subunit ribosomal RNA", at positions 509 to 807 of the family's 1533-position model. The record is from RNAcentral.
CAGCCGCCGCGGUAAUACGUAGGGUCCGAGCGUUGUCCGGAAUUAUUGGGCGUAAAGGGCUCGUAGGCGGUUUGUUGCGUCGGGAGUGAAAACCCAGGGCUUAACUUUGGGCUUGCUUUCGAUACGGGCAGACUUGAGGCAUUGAGGGGAGAACGGAAUUCCUGGUGUAGCGGUGAAAUGCGCAGAUAUUAGGAGGAACACCGGUGGCGAAGGCGGUUCUCUGGCAAUGUUCUGACGCUGAGGAGCGAAAGUGUGGGGAGCGAACAGGAUUAGAUACCCCUGUAGUCCCUGUCUCUUAUAC